This 327-nucleotide ribosomal RNA is filed under the name uncultured eukaryote. RNAcentral describes it as "partial 18S ribosomal RNA". It matches the Rfam family "Eukaryotic small subunit ribosomal RNA", at positions 1470 to 1796 of the family's 1831-position model. The record is from RNAcentral.
CCCUUAGAUGUUCUGGGCCGCACGCGCGCUACACUGACGAAUGCAACGAGCUUAUAACCUUGGCCGAAAGGUCUGGGUAAUCUCCAAAUUUCGUCGUGAUGGGGAUAGAUUAUUGCAAUUAUUAAUCUUCAACGAGGAAUGCCUAGUAAGCGCAAGUCAUCAGCUUGCGUUGAUUACGUCCCUGCCCUUUGUACACACCGCCCGUCGCUCCUACCGAUUGAAUGGUCCGGUGAAGCGUUCGGACCGAGGCCUUUGGACGGUUCGCCGUCUGUUGGCUGCGGGAAGUUCGUUAAACCUUAUCAUUUAGAGGAAGGAGAAGUCGUAACA